AACGAACGCUGGCGGCAGGCCUAACACAUGCAAGUCGAACGCCGUAGCAAUACGGAGUGGCAGACGGGUGAGUAACGCGUGGGAACAUACCCCUCGGUUCGGAAUAACUUAGGGAAACUUGAGCUAAUACCGGAUACGUCCGAGGUUUUAACCGGCCUCGGAGAAAGAUUUAUCGCCGGAGGAUUGGCCCGCGUCUGAUUAGCUUGUUGGUGAGGUAAUGGCUCACCAAGGCGACGAUCAGUAGCUGGUCUGAGAGGAUGAUCAGCCACACUGGGACUGAGAUACGGCCCAGACUCCUACGGGAGGCAGCAGUGGGGAAUAUUGGACAAUGGGGGAAACCCUGAUCCAGCAAUGCCGCGUGAGUGAAGAAGGCC
This 374-nucleotide ribosomal RNA is filed under the name uncultured bacterium. Its description in RNAcentral is "bacterial SSU rRNA". It matches the Rfam family "Bacterial small subunit ribosomal RNA", at positions 29 to 416 of the family's 1533-position model. The record is from RNAcentral.